CUCCGUAAGUGACUGCGGAGGGAUCAUUACACAAAUAUGAAGGCGGGCUGGUAACCUCUCGGGGUUACAGCCUUGCUGAAUUAUUCACCCUUGUCUUUUGCGUACUUCUUGUUUCCUUGGUGGGUUCGCCCACCACUAGGACAAACAUAAACCUUUUGUAAUUGCAAUCAGCGUCAGUAACAAAUUAAUAAUUACAACUUUCAACAACGGAUCUCUUGGUUCUGGCAUCGAUGAAGAACGCAGCGAAAUGCGAUAAGUAGUGUGAAUUGCAGAAUUCAGUGAAUCAUCGAAUCUUUGAACGCACAUUGCGCCCUUUGGUAUUCCAAAGGGCAUGCCUGUUCGAGCGUCAUUUGUACCCUCAAGCUUUGCUUGGUGUUGGGCGUCUUGUCUCUAGCUUUGCUGGAGACUCGCCUUAAAGUAAUUGGCAGCCGGCCUACUGGUUUCGGAGCGCAGCACAAGUCGCACUCUCUAUCAGCAAAGGUCUAGCAUCCAUUAAGCCUUUUUUUCAACUUUUGACCUCGGAUCAGGUAGGGAUACCCGCUGAACUUAAGCAUAUCAAU
This 560-nucleotide ribosomal RNA is filed under the name fungal sp. Art25. Its description in RNAcentral is "eukaryotic LSU rRNA". The stretch from base 196 to 349 matches the Rfam family "5.8S ribosomal RNA". The record is from RNAcentral. Lineage: Eukaryota; Fungi.